AAGCGAGCAAAUUCAAUACUAUGAAGAACAAUUACACAAACAACGAAAUCAUAUCACCAAGCGAACAAUUAAUAUUAAUCUUGAUUAAAACGAAUAGAGGAUGAAAGAAUUGGAGGUCAAUAUAGCCGGAAAAUUGAGUGUUUCAUUGUUUUGAACUCAAAAAUUUAACGAACUGCGGACGGGACUCGAUGGGUGGUCGUCGCCGAUGGAACUCUUGGAGUCGUUGGUUUCGGCCUGUAGAAGAAGAAGCAAACGGGUCCUGAAAUAUGAAAGAGAAGAAGCUCACGCUAAGGUUCUUGUGUUUUUCCGUUGAAGAAGAUGACUCCCGAGGUCUCUCUCUAUGAAAAAAU
This 350-nucleotide long non-coding RNA is filed under the name Nicotiana benthamiana. RNAcentral describes it as "long non-coding RNA (NBEN_LNC013706)". The record is from RNAcentral. Lineage: Eukaryota; Viridiplantae; Streptophyta; Magnoliopsida; Solanales; Solanaceae.